This 497-nucleotide ribosomal RNA is filed under the name uncultured bacterium. RNAcentral describes it as "partial 16S ribosomal RNA". It matches the Rfam family "Bacterial small subunit ribosomal RNA", at positions 28 to 507 of the family's 1533-position model. The record is from RNAcentral.
GAUGAACGCUGGCGGCGUGCCUAAUACAUGCAAGUCGAGCGAACAGACGAGGAGCUUGCUCCUCUGACGUUAGCGGCGGACGGGUGAGUAACACGUGGAUAACCUACCUAUAAGACUGGGAUAACUUCGGGUAACCGGAGCUAAUACCGGAUAAUAUAUUGAACCGCAUGGUUCAAUAGUGAAAGACGGUUUUGCUGUCACUUAUAGAUGGAUCCGCGCCGCAUUAGCUAGUUGGUAAGGUAACGGCUUACCAAGGCAACGAUGCGUAGCCGACCUGAGAGGGUGAUCGGCCACACUGGAACUGAGACACGGUCCAGACUCCUACGGGAGGCAGCAGUAGGGAAUCUUCCGCAAAGGGCGAAAGCCUGACGGAGCAACGCCGCGUGAGUGAUGAAGGUCUUCGGAUCGUAAAACUCUGUUAUUAGGGAAGAACAAAUGUGUAAGUAACUAUGCACGUCUUGACGGUACCUAAUCAGAAAGCCACGGCUAACUACGUG